GACAGAGGGUGCAAACGUUGUUCGGAAUUACUGGGCGUAAAGCGUGCGCAGGCGGUUCGUUAAGUCAGAUGUGAAAGCCCCGAGCUCAACUUGGGAACUGCAUUUGAAACUGGCGGGCUGGAGUGUGGCAGAGGGGGGUGGAAUUCCACGUGUAGCAGUGAAAUGCGUAGAGAUGUGGAGGAACACCGAUGGCGAAGGCAGCCCCCUGGGCCAACACUGACGCUCAGGCACGAAAGCGUGGGGAGCAAACAGG
Molecule: ribosomal RNA, 253 nt
Filed under: uncultured bacterium
Lineage: Bacteria
Description: partial 16S ribosomal RNA
Rfam family: Bacterial small subunit ribosomal RNA
Source: RNAcentral